GUUCCUACGGGACGCAGCAGUGGGGAAUAUUGCACAAUGGGGGAAACCCUGAUGCAGCGACGCCGCGUGAGUGAAGAAGCGUUUCGGCGCGUAAAGCUCUGUCAGCGGGGAAGAAACACGGUUCGCGAGAGCCGCGGACGGUACCCGACCAAGAAGCCACGGCUAACUACGUGCCAGCAGCCGCGGUAAUACGUAGGUGGCAAGCGUUAUCCGGAUUUAUUGGGUGGAAAGGGCGUGUAGGCGGGAAAGCAAGUCAGAUGUGAAAACUCAGGGCUCAACCCUGAGCCUGCAUUUGGAACUGUUUU
This 305-nucleotide ribosomal RNA is filed under the name uncultured bacterium. RNAcentral's name for it is "bacterial SSU rRNA". It matches the Rfam family "Bacterial small subunit ribosomal RNA", at positions 335 to 639 of the family's 1533-position model. The record is from RNAcentral.